CCGCGAGACAAAUGCCCUUCUCCAUUAGUAUCUGCAACCACGGCGACGGCAGCCCCCAUAACCGGAACUUGCCUCCCCAUCCCUACCGCUCUCCCACGCAGCUGCUUCGGAGCAGCCAUCCCACACCUCAACUUUUCGUGGGAUUGUUAUUGGUGGUGAUGUGGUUCCUAGGCUUUCAUUUUCAUCGCAGGCGGCAGCGUUGGGAUGCGUCUCUCUGGGACGCUUCGCAGUUGGGCUUGCUGGUUACUGCUCCUCCUCUUCGCUGGAGAUGAUAUGGUUCUCUGUUUGAGGAGUCGACUGCGAUGGGGCUCAAAAAGCUGAGGAGGGUCGGGUGACUGUUGAUUGGGGGAUGGGGCAACGAAAUCUAUCUGCUCAUGAGGAGCUUGAGCCGGUG
Long non-coding RNA from Lolium rigidum, 394 nucleotides. RefSeq lists it as uncharacterized. The transcript has 3 exons. Lineage: Eukaryota; Viridiplantae; Streptophyta; Magnoliopsida; Poales; Poaceae. The record is from RefSeq and is a predicted model, not a curated record.